UGUGCUCCUGAUUCACCACGCACCGCCGCCGGAGUGCCACCUACUACCUCAUGCGUAGCCAACGAAACCGGCACGUGCCAUCAGAACCAGUCACAAACUGCUGUGUAUCGGCCGGAGAUUGCCACGAAACCACUCGCACAUCCAGAUCCGGCACGAAUCUUAUGGGCUGAGAACGCACCACAUAUCGCGAAGUCGCACCUGGGCGCUGCACGGGUCUCUUUUCCCACUGUACGCAGUUGCACUAUUCCCUUUCUAGCUUUCUAUUUUUGGCGCAAAUGGAC
Molecule: long non-coding RNA, 281 nt
Filed under: Carica papaya (papaya)
Lineage: Eukaryota; Viridiplantae; Streptophyta; Magnoliopsida; Brassicales; Caricaceae
Description: long non-coding RNA (CPAP_LNC008674)
Source: RNAcentral